GACGAACGCUGGCGGCGUGCUUAACACAUGCAAGUCGAACGGAAAGGCCCUGCUUUUGUGGGGUGCUCGAGUGGCGAACGGGUGAGUAACACGUGAGUAACCUGCCCUUGACUUUGGGAUAACUUCAGGAAACUGGGGCUAAUACCGGAUAGGAGCUCCUGCUGCAUGGUGGGGGUUGGAAAGUUUCGGCGGUGGGGGAUGGACUCGCGGCUUAUCAGCUUGUUGGUGGGGUAGUGGCUUACCAAGGGUUUGACGGGUAGCCGGCCUGAGAGGGUGACCGGCCACAUUGGGACUGAGAUACGGCCCAGACUCCUACGGGAGGCAGAAGUGGGGAAUAUUGCACAAUGGGCGGAAGCCUGAUGCAGCAACGCCGCGUGCGGGAUGACGGCCUUCGGGUUGUAAACCGCUUUCGCCUGUGACGAAGCGUGAGUGACGGUAAUGGGUAAAGAAGCACCGGCUAACUACGUG
This 468-nucleotide ribosomal RNA is filed under the name uncultured bacterium. RNAcentral's name for it is "partial 16S ribosomal RNA". It matches the Rfam family "Bacterial small subunit ribosomal RNA", at positions 28 to 507 of the family's 1533-position model. The record is from RNAcentral.